AGAGCAUCUGCGUUUCUAUGAGCUGUCAUCCACACCGGGAAGCCUGUCUAUGAAUCUGCAGUCAGACUUCAAUGAUCCAACCCCACUCUCUGCACACAAGAUUGAUGGCAUGCUGCUGUUGACCCCCAAGAGGUUCAUACAAGUGAGACCACUGGAAUUACAUGAUGUCCACACAAGGCGUACCACUGUUCUCCAUGCCCUUCCUGUCUAUCUACGUGAGGAAACCUCUGGAUUUUUGAGGACGUGUGGAUGAUACCAAUGAGCCGGACCUCGGAUGCAGCAGUUGUCCUCCUGACAACCAUCACCGAUGAUGCCGAGAGUCCAGUUACGUACGACCCAGUGAGAAUCUGUUAUCCUAGAGGGUGAUGUGAUUGUCAACCUCUCCAGGCUUCCUGAUGUCUUCCUGGUAAUGUUCGGCCUCAUCUAUGCUUUACAUCUAGAUUAUCCGAAGGGACUGACCAACACAUUUGAGUUCACGCAGAAAAUCUUACUUGGUCUUGAUGAGUCUAAACUAUCACCCACGCUGCAGAGUCAAAAAUGACCUGAUGUUAGAUGUGUAACUCAAAAUCUGAAAGAGUGGUGGAUUCAGAUGGCUCACUCUGUUAAAGCAUUGUCCACAUCCACAAUGUAAUUUACUAUUUGUCUGCUCUUUAAUUGUUGAUGUUAAAGUAACACACCACCAUUUGGGCAAAUAUGUUCAUUUUCCACUUCUCCUUGAGUUAACCCUCCCACUGUCCUAAUGGGUGUGACCCCGCGAGGAAAGUUGACCAUUGA
Non-coding RNA from Nothobranchius furzeri (turquoise killifish), 774 nucleotides. The record is from RefSeq and is a predicted model, not a curated record. Lineage: Eukaryota; Metazoa; Chordata; Actinopteri; Cyprinodontiformes; Nothobranchiidae.